GCGUAGCAAUACGUCAGCGGCAGACGGGUGAGUAACGCGUGGGAACGUACCUUUUGGUUCGGAACAACACAGGGAAACUUGUGCUAAUACCGGAUAAGCCCUUACGGGGAAAGAUUUAUCGCCGAAAGAUCGGCCCGCGUCUGAUUAGCUAGUUGGUAGGGUAACGGCCUACCAAGGCGACGAUCAGUAGCUGGUCUGAGAGGAUGAUCAGCCACAUUGGGACUGAGACACGGCCCAAACUCCUACGGGAGGCAGCAGUGGGGAAUAUUGGACAAUGGGCGCAAGCCUGAUCCAGCCAUGCCGCGUGAGUGAUGAAGGCCCUAGGGUUGUAAAGCUCUUUUGUGCGGGAAGAUAAUGACGGUACCGCAAGAAUAAGCCCCGGCUAACUUCGUGCCAGCAGCCGCGGUAAUACGAAGGGGGCUAGCGUUGCUCGGAAUCACUGGGCGUAAAGGGUGCGUAGGCGGGUCUUUAAGUCAGGGGUGAAAUCCUGGAGCUCAACUCCAGAACUGCCUUUGAUACUGAGGAUCUUGAGUUCGGGAGAGGUGAGUGGAACUGCGAGUGUAGAGGUGAAAUUCGUAGAUAUUCGCAAGAACACCAGUGGCGAAGGCGGCUCACUGGCCCGAUACUGACGCUGAGC
RNAcentral lists this ribosomal RNA (637 nucleotides) under Bradyrhizobium sp. Its description in RNAcentral is "bacterial SSU rRNA". It matches the Rfam family "Bacterial small subunit ribosomal RNA", at positions 74 to 752 of the family's 1533-position model. The record is from RNAcentral. Lineage: Bacteria; Pseudomonadati; Pseudomonadota; Alphaproteobacteria; Hyphomicrobiales; Nitrobacteraceae.